This 497-nucleotide ribosomal RNA is filed under the name uncultured bacterium. RNAcentral describes it as "partial 16S ribosomal RNA". It matches the Rfam family "Bacterial small subunit ribosomal RNA", at positions 28 to 507 of the family's 1533-position model. The record is from RNAcentral.
GAUGAACGCUGGCGGCGUGCCUAAUACAUGCAAGUCGAGCGAACGGACGAGAAGCUUGCUUCUCUGAUGUUAGCGGCGGACGGGUGAGUAACACGUGGAUAACCUACCUAUAAGACUGGUAUAACUUCGGGAAACCGGAGCUAAUACCGGAUAAUAUUUUGAACCGCAUGGUUCAAAAGUGAAAGACGGUCUUUCUGUCACUUAUAGAUGGAUCCGCGCUGCAUUAGCUAGUUGGUAAGGUAACGGCUUACCAAGGCAACGAUGCCUAGCCGACCUGAGAGGGGGAUCGGCCACACUGGAACUGAGACAGGGUCAAGGCUCCUAAGGGAGGCAGCAGUAGGGAAUCUUACGCAAUGGGCGAAAGCCUGACGGAGCAACGGCGCGUGAGUGAUGAAGGUCUUCGGAGCGUAAAAAUCUGUUAUUAGGGAAGAACAUAUGUGGAAGUAACUGUGCACAUAGUGACGGUACCUAAUCAGAAAGCAACGGCUAACUACGUG